Long non-coding RNA from Eriocheir sinensis (Chinese mitten crab), 548 nucleotides. RefSeq lists it as uncharacterized. NCBI's taxonomy places the organism in Eukaryota, Metazoa, Arthropoda, Malacostraca, Decapoda, Varunidae. The record is from RefSeq and is a predicted model, not a curated record. The transcript is spliced from 3 exons.
UAUGAUUGUCAUAAAAAAACAGUAGCAGAUGUGGAUGACGGGAGGGAGGUAGAGAGCUGGGCAGCAUGGUCAAUAUCGACUUUAGUCUUUCUAUCUUUUUUCAGAAGAGACGUCGUCGACUAGCUCUGAUCGAUCAGAUGUCGGUUUCUCUCAACCAGACCCCAGCGAUAUUGGAAGUUGUUCUCCACGGGCGGGUCUCAGCGACGAAGCCAGUCAAAACCAAAGGACUAUCUCCGAAGAAGGCGGGUCUGGUAGGCUCAGCCAUUGGCCCUCCUCUUCAGCGAUCGGUAGUGGACGAAAACGAAAACAAGCGAAUACAGGAACAAACGACACCUGCAGGAAAAAGCAAGCCCGUCGUGAGGGAUUCUCCCAUCCAAACAGUUCUCCACAGCCAGGACCCAGCGGUUAUAACCCGGGACGGCCGACAACAACACCCUCACCAACACCAGGUGAAAUAAGCCAACAUUUCAACGGGGCCUUAACAACGAUCGACGUGCCCGUCCCACCAGCAGACAACGGCGACAUUGCAUCAUAUUUCAACAACAACA